RNAcentral lists this ribosomal RNA (672 nucleotides) under Newportia monticola. Its description in RNAcentral is "eukaryotic LSU rRNA". The stretch from base 155 to 672 matches the Rfam family "Eukaryotic large subunit ribosomal RNA", at positions 675 to 1118 of the family's 3401-position model. Lineage: Eukaryota; Metazoa; Arthropoda; Chilopoda; Scolopendromorpha; Scolopocryptopidae. The record is from RNAcentral.
AAGUGAAGGUCGACCGUCGGCCCUCCCGCUCACAAGGCGGGCUAGGGGCCGCGGUGGAGGCCGAGGCGGGAUCCGAUGAAACAAACUUGAGAUCCAUGAAAAGCCGGGUCGGGGACAGCCGAUCCCUCGCGCCUUUUCCGCUUCGGCGGAGGGGCCGGGGGUGAAGCGCGCCUUCUGGCUUGCCAGUCGGCGUCAAUUGAAAAAGAACCCCGUCAUCCCGGUCGGCGCACCGCCGGCCCGUCUCUACCGCAGCGUCGGUGAGGCGGAGCAAGAGCGUACACGUUGGGACCCGAAAGAUGGUGAACUAUGCUCGGGCAGGACGAAGCCAGAGGAAACUCUGGUGGAGGUCCGUAGCGAUUCUGACGUGCAAAUCGAUCGUCGGACCUGAGUAUAGGGGCGAAAGACUAAUCGAACCGUCUAGUAGCUGGUUCCCUCCGAAGUUUCCCUCAGGAUAGCUGGCGCUCGGUGAGGAACGCAGUCUCAUCCGGUAAAGCGAAUGAUUAGAGGCCUUGGGGCCGAAACGACCUCAACCUAUUCUCAAACUUUCAAUGGGUGAGAAGUCCGGCAUGCCCGAUUUACGAAGCCCGGACGGCAUCCCGUUUCCGAACGGAUGCACGAAAACACAAUGACGGCGGCCGGCGACUCGUGCCCCGGCCGGGGGUCAAACCUCGG